This 253-nucleotide ribosomal RNA is filed under the name uncultured bacterium. RNAcentral describes it as "partial 16S ribosomal RNA". It matches the Rfam family "Bacterial small subunit ribosomal RNA", at positions 524 to 776 of the family's 1533-position model. The record is from RNAcentral.
UACGUAGGGGGCAAGCGUUGUCCGGAAUCAUUGGGCGUAAGGCGCGCGUAGGCGGCCCGGUAAGUCCGUUGUGAAAGUCGAAGGCUCAACCUUCGAAAGCCGAUGGAUACUGCCGGGCUAGAGUACGGAAGAGGCGAGUGGAAUUCCGCGUGUAGCAGUGAAAUGCGUAGAUAUGCGGAGGAACACCGAUGGCGAAGGCAGCCUCCUGGGAUAACACUGACGCUCAUGCACGAAAGCCAGGGGAGCAAACGGG